Molecule: long non-coding RNA, 268 nt
Organism: Saccostrea cuccullata (small rock oyster)
Lineage: Eukaryota; Metazoa; Mollusca; Bivalvia; Ostreida; Ostreidae
Exons: 3
Source: RefSeq, a predicted model, not a curated record
CAGAAAAGCAGGAAAGGCUAUUGAAUCUGUUGCCAAAAAAAGUUGCAAUGAGGCUCUUGAUGAAGAAAUAAAAAUGAAUGAUGGGAAAGUUGAAAUAAGAGUUGCGGCUGAUGCUGGAUGGCAAACAAGAUCUAGUGGAAGGAAAUAUAACAGCUAUUCAGGUCACAGUUCACUAAUAGGUGAUAAAUCUGGGAAAAUAGUGCGGUAUGAUUAUAGAUGCAGAAAAUGCAGACUUUGUGAAAAUGCAAAAAGAAAAGGCAUUCAGCCC